This 301-nucleotide ribosomal RNA is filed under the name uncultured bacterium. RNAcentral describes it as "partial 16S ribosomal RNA". It matches the Rfam family "Bacterial small subunit ribosomal RNA", at positions 509 to 807 of the family's 1533-position model. The record is from RNAcentral.
CAGCCGCCGCGGGAAUACGUAGGGUGCGAGCGUUAAUCGGAAUUACUGGGCGUAAAGCGUGCGCAGGCGGUUGUACAAGACAGAUGUGAAAUCCCCGGGCUUAACCUGGGAAUGGCAUUUGUGACUGUACGGCUAGAGUGUGUCAGAGGGGGGUAGAAUUCCACGUGUAGCAGUGAAAUGCGUAGAUAUGUGGAGGAAUACCGAUGGCGAAGGCAGCCCCCUGGGAUAACACUGACGCUCAUGCACGAAAGCGUGGGGAGCAAACAGGAUUAGAUACCCGCGUAGUCCCUGUCUCUUAUAC